Molecule: non-coding RNA, 30 nt
Filed under: Homo sapiens (human)
Lineage: Eukaryota; Metazoa; Chordata; Mammalia; Primates; Hominidae
Source: RNAcentral
UUCCACUCGCCUUCAUCGAUACUCCACGCC